RNAcentral lists this ribosomal RNA (465 nucleotides) under uncultured bacterium. RNAcentral describes it as "partial 16S ribosomal RNA". It matches the Rfam family "Bacterial small subunit ribosomal RNA", at positions 338 to 795 of the family's 1533-position model. The record is from RNAcentral.
CCUACGGGAGGCUGCAGUGGGGAAUAUUGCACAAUGGGCGAAAGCCUGAUGGAGCAACGCCGCGUGGGUGAAGAAGGUCUUCGGAUCGUAAAACCCUGUUGUUAGAGAAGAAAGUGCGUGAGAGUAACUGUUCACGCUUCGACGGUAUCUAACCAGAAAGCCCCGGCUAACUACGUGCCAGCAGCCGCGGUAAUACGGAGGUGGCAAGCGUUAUCCGGAUUUAUUGGGCGUAAAGGGAACGCAGGCGGUCUUUUAAGUCUGAUGUGAAAGCCUUCGGCUUAACCGGAGUAGUGCAUUGGAGACUGGGAGACUUGAGUGCAGAAGAGGAGAGUGGAACUCCAUGUGUAGCGGUGAAAUGCGUAGAUAUAGGGAAGAACACCAGUGGCGAAAGCGGCUCUCUGGGCUGUAACUGACGCUGAGGUUCGAAAGCGUGGGUAGCAAACAGGAUUAGAUACCCGAGUAGUC